RNAcentral lists this ribosomal RNA (513 nucleotides) under uncultured bacterium. Its description in RNAcentral is "bacterial SSU rRNA". It matches the Rfam family "Bacterial small subunit ribosomal RNA", at positions 34 to 518 of the family's 1533-position model. The record is from RNAcentral.
CGCUGGCGGCGUGCCUAAUACAUGCAAGUCGAACGGUCUUUCUAUGGAAGCUUGCUUCCACUGAGAAGAUAGUGGCGAACGGGUGAGUAACACGUGGGUAACCUGACCCAUAAGAGGGGGGAUAACAUCCGGAAACGGGUGCUAAUACCGCAUAGUUUUCUUGAUCGCAUGAUCGGGAAAGGAAAGACGGCCUUUGUGCUGUCGCUUAUGGAUGGACCCGCGGCGUAUUAGUUAGUUGGUGAGGUAACGGCUCACCAAGACGAUGAUACGUAGCCGACCUGAGAGGGUGAUCGGCCACAUUGGGACUGAGACACGGCCCAAACUCCUACGGGAGGCAGCAGUAGGGAAUCUUCCGCAAUGGACGAAAGUCUGACGGAGCAACGCCGCGUGAGUGAAGAAGGUUUUCGGAAUCGUAAAACUCUGUUGUCAGAGAAGAACAAGUUGGAGAGUAACUGCUCCAGCCUUGACGGUAUCUGACCAGAAAGCCACGGCUAACUACGUGCCAGCAGCAGC